RNAcentral lists this ribosomal RNA (454 nucleotides) under uncultured Porphyromonas sp. RNAcentral describes it as "partial 16S ribosomal RNA". It matches the Rfam family "Bacterial small subunit ribosomal RNA", at positions 341 to 792 of the family's 1533-position model. Lineage: Bacteria; Pseudomonadati; Bacteroidota; Bacteroidia; Bacteroidales; Porphyromonadaceae. The record is from RNAcentral.
ACGGAAGGCAGCAGUGAGGAAUAUUGGUCAAUGGAGGCAACUCUGAACCAGCCAUCUCGCGUGAAGGAAUACGGCCCUACGGGUCUUAAACUUCUUUUAUAGGGGGAUAAAGUGAGCCACGAGUGGCUUUUUGUAGGUACCCUAUGAAUAAGCAUCAGCUAACUCCGUGCCAGCAGCCGCGGUAAUACGGAGGAUGCGAGCGUUAUCCGGAUUUAUUGGGUUUAAAGGGUGCGCAGGCGGCACGUUAAGUCAGCGGUGAAAUGUCGGGGCUCAACCCGGGCACUGCCGUUGAAACUGGCGAGCUUGAGUACGGAUGAAGUCGGCGGAAUGUGAUGUGUAGCGGUGAAAUGCUUAGAUAUGUCACAGAACACCGAUUGCGAAGGCAGCGGACUAAUCCGCAACUGACGCUCAGGCACGAAAGCGUGGGGAUCGAACAGGAUUAGAUACCCUGGUA